CCUACGGGGGGCAGCAGUCGAGAAUCAUUCACAAUGGGGGAAACCCUGAUGGAGCGACGCCGCGUGGGGGAAUGAAGGUCUACGGAUUGUAAACCCCUGUCAUGUGGGAGCAAAUUAAAAAGAUAGUACCACAAGAGGAAGAGACGGCUAACUCUGGGCCAGCAGCCGCGGUAAUACAGAGGGCUCAAGCGUUGUUCGGAAUCACUGGGCGUAAAGCGUGCGGAGGCUGUUUCGUAAGGCGUGUGUGAAAGGCGCGGGCUCAACCCGCGGACGGCACAUGAUACUGCGAGACUAGAGUAAUGGAGGGGGAACCGGAAUUCUCGGUGUAGCAGUGAAAUGCGUAGAUAUCGAGAGGAACACUCGUGGCGAAGGCGGGUUCCUGGACAUUAACUGACGCUGAGGCACGAAGGCCCGGGGAGCGAAAAGGAUUAGAUACCCGGGUAGUC
RNAcentral lists this ribosomal RNA (446 nucleotides) under uncultured bacterium. RNAcentral's name for it is "partial 16S ribosomal RNA". It matches the Rfam family "Bacterial small subunit ribosomal RNA", at positions 338 to 795 of the family's 1533-position model. The record is from RNAcentral.